UAUAUAACAUUUCUAUAUCGUGUGUGUGUGUGUGUGCACAUUCUCAUCUUGAUCUAAUGUGAUUAUGUUACUCUAAUCUUUUUUGUUGUAAAACACUUAGAUGUUAAGACUUAUUAAUUAUAAUAAAAUACAAAAACAAAACAUGUACAUUUUUAUUAAUAACAAAACAAAAUGUUACAAACUGAUUCAGCAAACAGUAAAAUAAACAGCACACAAAUAUAAAUCAAUAACUUGGUGAAAAAAAAGCAUGUGGUAUAUAAAUACGCAGGUAUAUUUUAAAAGCAGAGAAAAGCAAAGAACCUCUGCACAGAGAGACGCGUUAGAGGGACGCGUUAGAGGGUAAAGACGUGUUAGAGGGUAAAGACGUGUUAGAGGGUAAAGACGUGUUAGAGGGUAAAGACGUGUUAGAGGG
Long non-coding RNA from Silurus meridionalis, 412 nucleotides. RefSeq lists it as uncharacterized. NCBI's taxonomy places the organism in Eukaryota, Metazoa, Chordata, Actinopteri, Siluriformes, Siluridae. The record is from RefSeq and is a predicted model, not a curated record. The transcript has 2 exons.